RNAcentral lists this ribosomal RNA (449 nucleotides) under uncultured bacterium. RNAcentral describes it as "partial 16S ribosomal RNA". It matches the Rfam family "Bacterial small subunit ribosomal RNA", at positions 29 to 523 of the family's 1533-position model. The record is from RNAcentral.
AACGAACGCUGGCGGCAUGCCUAACACAUGCAAGUCGAACGAACCCUUCGGGGUUAGUGGCGCACGGGUGCGUAACGCGUGGGAAUCUGCCCUUGGCUUCGGAAUAACAGUUAGAAAUGACUGCUAAUACCGGAUGAUGUCUUCGGACCAAAGAUUUAUCGGCCAGGGAUGAGCCCGCGUAGGAUUAGGUAGUUGGUGGGGUAAAGGCCUACCAAGCCGACGAUCCUUAGCUGGUCUGAGAGGAUGAUCAGCCACACUGGGACUGAGACACGGCCCAGACUCCUACGGGGGGCAGCAGUGGGGAAUAUUGGACAAUGGGCGCAAGCCUGAUCCAGCAAUGCCGCGUGAAUGAUGAAGGCCUUAGGGUCGUAAAGCUCUUUUACCCGGGAUGAUAAUGACAGUACCGGGAGAAUAAGCUCCGGCUAACUCCGUGCCAGCCGCCGCGGUAA